This 403-nucleotide ribosomal RNA is filed under the name uncultured bacterium. RNAcentral describes it as "partial 16S ribosomal RNA". It matches the Rfam family "Bacterial small subunit ribosomal RNA", at positions 30 to 526 of the family's 1533-position model. The record is from RNAcentral.
AUUGAACGCUGGCGGCAGGCCUAACACAUGCAAGUCGAGCGAGCGGCGGACGGGUGAGUAAUGUAUGGGGACUGCCCGAUAGAGGGGGAUAACUACUGGAAACGGUGGAUAAUACCGCAUACUAUAGGAUAGGCCCUAUGGGAUUAGCUAGUAGGUGGGGUAAAGGCGCACUUAGGCGACGAUCUCUAGCUGGUCUGAGAGGAUGAUCAGCCCAAUGGGGACUGGGACACGGCCCAGACUCCUACGGAGGCAGCAGUGGGGAAUAUUGCACAAUGGGCGCAAGCCUGAUGCAGCCAUGCCGCGUGGAUGAAGAAGGCCUUAGGGUUGUAAAGUACUUUCAGCGGGGAGGCGUUACCCGCAGAAGAAGCACCGGCUAACUCCGUGCCAGCCGCCGCGGUAAUAC